This 2302-nucleotide ribosomal RNA is filed under the name Bacillus sp. es.036. Its description in RNAcentral is "bacterial LSU rRNA". It matches the Rfam family "Bacterial large subunit ribosomal RNA", at positions 1 to 2269 of the family's 2925-position model. Lineage: Bacteria; Bacillati; Bacillota; Bacilli; Caryophanales; Bacillaceae. The record is from RNAcentral.
CGAAGGUUAAGCUACUAAGGGCGCACGGUGGAUGCCUUGGCACUAGAAGCCUAAGAAGGACGGGACGAACACCGAUAUGCUUCGGGGAGCUGUAAGUACGCUUUGAUCCGGAGAUUUCCGAAUGGGGGAACCCACCAUCUUUAAUAGGAUGGUAUCCAUUUCUGAAUACAUAGGGAAUGGAAGGCAGACCCGGGGAACUGAAACAUCUCAUUACCCGGAGGAAGAGAAAGCAAAUGCGAUUUCCUGAGUAGCGGCGAGCGAAACGGAAUCAGCCCAAACCAGAGGGCUUGCCCUCUGGGGUUGUAGGACGUCUCUUUGGAGUUACAAAGGCACGGAUAGACGAAGCGACCUGGAAAGGUCCAUCACAGAAGGUAACAAUCCUGUAGUCAAAAUCCGCUGCCCUCCGAGACGGAUCCUGAGUACGGCGGGACACGUGAAACCCCGUCGGAAUCUGGGAGGACCAUCUCCCAAGGCUAAAUACUCUCUAGUGACCGAUAGUGAACCAGUACCGUGAGGGAAAGGUGAAAAGCACCCCGGAAGGGGAGUGAAAGAGAACCUGAAACCGUGUGCCUACAACUAGUUGGAGCCCGUUAAUGGGUGACAGCGUGCCUUUUGUAGAAUGAACCGGCGAGUUACGAUCCCGUGCAAGGUUAAGCUGAUAAGGCGGAGCCGCAGCGAAAGCGAGUCUGAAUAGGGCGAAAUAGUACGUGGUCGUAGACCCGAAACCAGGUGAUCUACCCAUGUCCAGGGUGAAGUUCAGGUAACACUGAAUGGAGGCCCGAACCCACGCAUGUUGAAAAAUGCGGGGAUGAGGUGUGGGUAGCGGUGAAAUGCCAAUCGAACCUGGAGAUAGCUGGUUCUCUCCGAAAUAGCUUUAGGGCUAGCCUCGCGGCAAGAAUCUUGGAGGUAGAGCACUGAUUGGACUAGGGGUCCUUACCGGAUUACCGAAUCCAGUCAAACUCCGAAUGCCAACGAUUUAUCCGCGGGAGUCAGACUGCGAGUGAUAAGAUCCGUAGUCGAGAGGGAAACAGCCCAGACCACCAGCUAAGGUCCCAAAGUAUACGUUAAGUGGAAAAGGAUGUGGCGUUGCUUAGACAACCAGGAUGUUGGCUUAGAAGCAGCCAUCAUUUAAAGAGUGCGUAAUAGCUCACUGGUCGAGUGACGCUGCGCCGAAAAUGUACCGGGGCUAAAACGUAUCACCGAAGCUGUGGAUUGUCUUACGACAAUGGUAGGAGAGCGUUCUAAGGGCUGUGAAGUCAGACCGAAAGGACUGGUGGAGCGCUUAGAAGUGAGAAUGCCGGUAUGAGUAGCGAAAGACAAGUGAGAAUCUUGUCCGUCGAAAGCCCAAGGUUUCCUGAGGAAGGCUCGUCCGCUCAGGGUUAGUCGGGACCUAAGCCGAGGCCGAAAGGCGUAGGCGAUGGAUAACAGGUUGAUAUUCCUGUACCACCUCCUUUCCGUUUGAACGACGGGGGGACGCAGAAAGAUAGGGAGAGCGCGCUGCUGGAAAUGCGCGUCCAAGCGAUUAGGCUGGUGAAUAGGUAAAUCCGUUCACCGUGAAGGCUGAGUCGUGAUGGCGAGGGAAAUUUAGUACCGAAGUCCUUGAUUCUACGCUGCCAAGAAAAGCCUCUAGUGAGGAAAGAGGUGCCCGUACCGCAAACCGACACAGGUAGGCGAGGAGAGAAUCCUAAGACGAUCGGGAGAACUCUCGUUAAGGAACUCGGCAAAAUGACCCCGUAACUUCGGGAGAAGGGGUGCUUCCUCGGGUUAAUAGCCCAGGGGAGCCGCAGUGAAAAGAUCCAAGCGACUGUUUAGCAAAAACACAGGUCUCUGCAAAGCCGUAAGGCGAAGUAUAGGGGCUGACACCUGCCCGGUGCUGGAAGGUUAAGAGGAGGGGUUAUCCCUUACGGGAGAAGCUCUGAAUCCCUUACGGGAGAAGCUCUGAAUCGAAGCCCCAGUAAACGGCGGCCGUAACUAUAACGGUCCUAAGGUAGCGAAAUUCCUUGUCGGGUAAGUUCCGACCCCGCACGAAAGGUGCAACGACUUGGAUACUGUCUCAACGAGAGACCCGGUGAAAUUAUAGUACCUGUGAAGAUGCAGGUUACCCGCGACAGGACGGAAAGACCCCAUGGAGCUUUACUGUAGCCUGAUAUUGGAUUUUGGUACAGCUUGUACAGGAUAGGUAGGAGCCAUAGAAGUCGGACCGCCAGGUUCGAUGGAGGCGUCGGUGGGAUACUACCCUGGCUGUACUGACAUUCUAACCCAGCACCGUGAUCCGGUGCGGAGACAGUGUCAGGUGGGCAGU